CACUUUCCUAGAAUAGACCGUACUUUUGCAUUGUUUCGUGUGUGUGUAUGUAUAUACACAGGCUUAUGCGACACAUUCGUUACGUCUAUCGUUACGAUCUCAAGAAGUCUGUUAAUUUCACGUUCAUUAGUCACGACGAGGUAUCCGGUGAGGAACGAGGCGCGCCUCGGAGCGAGCGUGUGCAUAAUUAAAAACGAAGGUUUCGUUAAUUAAAUUUCGUUGCAUCGACCUCCCCCCGAUUGUUCUCUUGUAAAAUAUCUCCGCACUUUGUUCGAAGGAAAGAAGAAAAUUUAUUUGCCCAUCGAUAAGUUCAACGCUUGAGAAUUUCCAGCGACGAGCCGUUAUCGAAAAACAUAACUAAUGUCCUCGUCAUCCGCAGCGAAUUUUCGUCGUUGAAAAGGAAGAGGAGGAGAAGGAGAAGGAGGAGGGGAAAAAAAACCAUUUUCGUUCCUCUCCUCCGCGUCGUGAGCCGCGGUACACAAGGUGGCGAGGGUACGUCAACGACUUAAAUCGAUAUCCAACGAUGUCGUGCCUCUCUCGUAGCAAAGUCAUCCUAAAGAAACGGUGGGCAAUUAAUCAUACGGACGCGAACAGAAGCCGUGAUAAUAAAUGCACGAGGGCGGACUGCGUGCGCGGCGAGAGAGAUAUAUAGUUGGGAGAAGGACUCGAAUGAGGGGGAGGCUGACGUUUCCGGAUAGGGUGACAAUCAGAAUGACACCGCGUAUCCUUUGUAACCCAGUAAUUAGUUUCCUCUGUUAUGCGUGUCCUCUAUCUAGUUACCUCCUCUAGUCAUUGGGGUACAGCAUGAUAUGAAACCGAGAAUAGCGUGUUCCGUAUUACGAUAACGAUUCGCGUAUUUGUACUUGAGUCUGUUUCUACAGUUUGUUAAUUUUUUUCAAAAAGAAGAAGACGUUUUAUCGAACGUCGGAUUUCCUAAUUUUCAUGGGAAUUUCAAUGAAGAUAAUAAGGAAGUUUUUCUUUUUUGUUCCAAUUAAUAAUAUUUGGUAUUGAUAUUUCUUUUUAAAGUCAAUAUUCAGUUUUCUUCAUCAAAUUAUUGAAUCAAAAUAUUUAAUGAAAAUAAAAAAAAAAAAAGAGGUGAAGCUGGUCCAAAUUCGGCGAAACUGCUGUUAUUAUAUUUCAUAUAAAGAGUGCAAAUUCCGAUCACCGAUCGAGGAUCGAGGGUAUUUAAGCCCGGUAUCAACGACGUCGUAACACUUUACAGAAACGACGGGAACGAUAAAAUUUCAGAUUCGUCGGAUCAUUACGAUCUAAAUAUGAGAGGAAAUAUAACCCUAAUCGGCUCUGGGGUACCCGAGGGAGGUGCAAUAAUCGGGAACGAUCCCCGUACGGCCAUGAAUUAAUUCCGCCCGGAUAAUUCUCCAUUAUUCAACCCACGAAAUGAUAUUUCGAUUCGAGAGCACGCACUCGAUCCACGCAAUAGAAUUUUAGAAUUAUAAUUUAUAAAUUGACAAAUAUUACAACCCUCUCCCAAGGAACAAAAAUACUUCCCACCCAAAAAAAUUGUCUCACCUCCUCCUUACCAAAUUCCCCCACGUAAAAAUAAAACCAACCAACAAUCUUUUUACUUAUAAUUUAUUUCCAAAUACAAAGCACUCGAGAACAACCACGGAAAAUACGGAGCUACAUCUAUUCACGAGAAACCUAGCCGAGGCUUCCUAUGAAAUCCAAAGCUCUUCUCAUUUCGCGAACGAAAUCUGGGGGGAGAGGGAGGAGGGAAUGGGAAGGGAGUCGAUGCAGCCACCUUAGCGGAGGACGAAACCAUUUUAAUACCGUCGCUUUAAUUACAAAUGAGACUGACGCAACGCGAAAAACAAGCUCACCGGCACGACGGAAGAGGGGGAAGGGGGUUGGUUGGCCAGGUCUCAUAAAGCGUCUACGGCAUUAUGCUCUGUCCGCGGUAACUUCUCCCAAAAGCGUCGGUGCAAUCAGCAAUUCCCGCGAUACCACACCACCAACAAGGGCAACGCCAGACACAGGGUCGAGGGGGAAGCUGGACUGGGUAAUCGCGGCUCCGAACACGCUAGGGUUGAUAGGGGGCGACGGAUAGGAGAGGUCGAGGCAAAUCUCAGAAUUUAAUAUCCUUCGAAGAGGUAUGUAAUAUCCCCUAAAAGCCUCGCCUUCCCCUAAGAUCCCAGAUAGAUCCUGGUGUCGCGCGAAAAACUUGCGUACGCACGCGGGUUUCUCGCUCAAAAAAUCAUCGAAAGAGAAGGUGCACACGCUUUUUCGUGGAUGCCUCUGCUUAUUUUUCUUUCUUGCCGAGGAACUCUACGAAGGAACGAGGGAAAGAGAUGGAAAGAGAUGGAAAGAAAAGAUUAUUGCUUCGUAUAUAUAUAUGUAUAUAUGUGUUAUCGCAAGAACGGGUGUAUAAGGUGAAAAAUGAUUCUGGGAAUACGUGAGAAUUUCGAAUGCGAUGAUACUUUAGGCAAGAUUGUACGUCGUGCGUGUAAGAAAACACGUGUAUUGGAGGAGAGUCAGCAAAGAGAUUAAAAAAAGAUCAGGAUCUUUUUGAUAAACGAGAAGUGCGUGUUAAUAAAAUAUAUCCCUACGUUAUUGUAUUUAAUUAAUUAUCUGUAUCUGAUUAAUUACAGAUCUUCGCCUGUGAAAUCAUUUAACAGAAGACGCACACGUGAAUAUACACACGUUCUCUUCCGUUCUUUUUACGCCACAUUUCGAGAAAUGGAAUAAAAAUUAUUGUUAAAC
Molecule: long non-coding RNA, 2721 nt
Organism: Apis cerana (Asiatic honeybee)
Lineage: Eukaryota; Metazoa; Arthropoda; Insecta; Hymenoptera; Apidae
Source: RefSeq, a predicted model, not a curated record